Molecule: ribosomal RNA, 367 nt
Filed under: uncultured organism
Description: bacterial LSU rRNA
Rfam family: Bacterial large subunit ribosomal RNA
Source: RNAcentral
CUUUACUGUAACUUGAAAUUGAAAUUGGACUUUACUUGCGCAGUAUAGGUGGGAGGCGUUGAGUUUAUUCUUGCGGGAAUUUAGGAGCCAUCAGUGAGAUACCACUCUGGUAAUGUUAGAUUUCUAACUUUGUAUCAUAAUCUGGUCAAAGGACAGUUUCAGGCGGGCAGUUUGACUGGGGCGGUCGCCUCCUAAAUGGUAACGGAGGCGUACAAAGGUUUCCUCUGAACGUGUAGAAAUCGUAUCUAGAGUAUAAAGGCAUAAGGAAGCUUGACUGUGAGACUUACAAGUCGAGCAGGGACGAAAGUCGGUCUUAGUGAUCUGACGGUGCUGAGUGGAAAGGCCGUCACUCAACGGAUAAAAGUUA